CCUACGGGGGGCAGCAGUGAGGAAUAUUGGUCAAUGGGCGAGAGCCUGAACCAACCAAGUCGCGUGAAGGAUGAAGGAUCUAUGGUUUGUAAACUUCUUUUAUAAAGGAAUAAAGUGAGGCACGUGUGCCUUUUUGUAUGUACUUUAUGAAUAAGGAUCGGCUAACUCCGUGCCAGCAGCCGCGGUAAUACGGAGGAUCCGAGCGUUAUCCGGAUUUAUUGGGUUUAAAGGGAGCGUAGAUGGGUUGUUAAGUCAGUUGUGAAAGUUUGCGGCUCAACCGUAAAAUUGCAAUUGAUACUGGCAGCCUUGAGUACAGUUGAGGUAGGCGGAAUUCGUGGUGUAGCGGUGAAAUGCUUAGAUAUCACGAAGAACUCCGAUUGCGAAGGCAGCUUACUAAACUGCCACUGACAUUGAUGCUCGAAAGUGUGGGUAUCAAACAGGAUUAGAUACCCCUGUAGUC
RNAcentral lists this ribosomal RNA (460 nucleotides) under uncultured bacterium. RNAcentral describes it as "partial 16S ribosomal RNA". It matches the Rfam family "Bacterial small subunit ribosomal RNA", at positions 338 to 795 of the family's 1533-position model. The record is from RNAcentral.